CUUGUGCAGAUAGACAGAAACAAUCUUAUCUGUGAGCCACAAAACCAUUAGGGCUUUGCCUCGGAGAAAAGGCAGAUGCCAACAUCAAUCAGAACAACUCACCCUGUAUGAACAAAAUGAUGUGUAAGGCAAAGAGUUGUGCACACAAGGAUGGAGGACACUGGGGACUCAACCACAGGAGGAGAGACACUUCUUUUGUGUGAGUGACUGAAGGAAAUCAUUCGUAGCUAUGUGUAGUGACAGUAGUUAGAAAUGGAAGGGAUUACUACAGGAUGGAUUCAUUUUAUUUUUCCUGUAAAAUAGAGGUGAUGGCUAUUUGCUGAAAAUGAUGGGAUGGGAAGAAUUAGAAUUAAAGUAUGUGAGUGAGUAGGGUAAAGUCUGAAAAACUGGACUGUAAGUUACCUGAUAGAAUGCUGCUAGUCCAGGAUCCCACCAUCUCCAGAGGACAAUACGGAGACAAGAAGUUUCUGUUGUGGUGGUUUGUUUCAUAGCACUGAGGAGCAAACCCCAAGGGUUUGUAAGUGCAGCAAGUGCUCUAGCACUAAACUGCAUUCCAGCCUGAGAAAGGUCCAGAGAAAGAAUGGAUCAUCUUUCUAGUCCAACACUUUCACCUCCC
Molecule: long non-coding RNA, 616 nt
Filed under: Cricetulus griseus (Chinese hamster)
Lineage: Eukaryota; Metazoa; Chordata; Mammalia; Rodentia; Cricetidae
Description: lncRNA (ENSCGRG00000024615.1)
Source: RNAcentral